UAACAUGUUAACAACCUUAUUUAUUAUUGUGGAUCUCUGAAUGUUGCUGUCACGAUGCUUCCUAUAACUGAAUUUGGUUGCUUCCUGUUAAAUGAAUGAUUCUGUGAUUUUGCCUUUGGAGCUGCAUGAACGCUUGAUUGUAGUGUAUUUGCAAGUUUUGCUUUUUAGUAAGCAUGUUGAUGUUGGUUGAUUUUAUUCUUAAAUUAAAUUCUGCAACUAGGAAAAGUAUCUUAGUUUGGAGUGAGAUCAAGAAUAAGUUGGGGGGGGGGGGGUAGAGAGCAUGGUUUUAAAUCGCGGUCGUAGAUAAUGGAAACAGGCCUGUAACGUAGGUAACGGUCUGGCACUAUACAAAUUUUUGAAAAAAAAUUGCAAAGUUCAUAAAUAAAAUGAUAUUGAUUAGAUUUAAUUCAGAACAAUAUGUAUAAAUAUAUAAAAUAUAGAUUAUUUAACUUAAGUUAAACAUCAUAUAGUUUAAAAUAAGAAAAACCAACAUAAUCUUUAUAAAUCGAGUAAAUUAAUAGCUCAAAAUAUAAUUUUAACUCAAAACUAAUUCUUUAAUCCACAAAAUUAAAAAAAAAGGAAAAAAAAACUAAAAACUAAAAUAGAUAAAAUUUAAAACUUUUUAGAAGAAAUAAGUUUUAAAAUAGAGUAGUUUACGAUGGAUCUAAGCUUAUAGGAGAAAUAUGCAAGGAAGAUUUGAAUUUGAAAGAGAAAGGGGAGAGAAAACUUAAAAAAUAUAGUCUUUGAAGCUAUUGAAAAGUGUAGAAACUAAUGAAAAUGAGAAUAGGGGGCAUAAGAGGAAGGAUAUAAAAGAAUUUUAAUUACUGGUAACGGCCGUUACCGUUACGUAACGGCCGUUAUGUCUGCAAAUUAGGGGGCCGUUAUAUAACGGGUAACGGUCCUUCAAAACCCGUUACAUAAUGGCCGUUAUUUAAAACCAUGGUAGAGAGGGACUCUUAGGAUGCUUAAGUGGCUAAAGUUUAGAGUAGUCAACUAUCCUAUAACCAUGGACAGGCACUGGAGAAGGUUGCAAGGGAGUUCACAACCUCCCUUGGAUAUUUGCAUAGAGUUCUUCAUGCUUUUAAACAUGCCUACAAAUUUUAUUCAUGUUACUCACAAAAUUUUGAAGGAAAUAGCAUCUCAUGUAUAAUCAUUCAUAGGUGCACAAUAGAAUCCACUCUAAGCACUCAGUUUUUCCCCUGAAGUCUUUUGUGCAGUCAUGCACUCAAUGGUCCGAUGAGUAACUUUGUAAAAACUAAAGGGUUUACCGACGUAUAGUGGAGAGUGGAGGGAACACAUGAUUAUGAGGUAACUAAAGGAAAUAAGAACUUGAGGCCUAAAAAGAAGGAAAAGUGACUGCCUGUUCUUUCAGUUUCUCUUUCAUUCUGAAAAAUCAAGAAUCCCUUGGUAUUUAAAAUUUAUGUCUUGGAAACAUUACUUUGUUCUUUUCAUUUUUAUGUAUCAAUUCAUAAUUAAUUGAGUUUUUUUAAUGCCUGCACAUUUUGAUCUAUAUGUAUAAACUCAUUUUAUGUAUCAAUCCUACUUAAAUGCAACUUCCCUUAUGUAUGCUUCCUAUGUAUUACUAAUACAUACGCUUGGUUGAAGAAACUCAACACACAAGUUUGUGUACCCAUUUUCUCUUUCAUUUUCCUUUUUCGCUCUUCUGAUUUAAUCUUUGUUGAAGCUGACUUAAAAUAUUUAUUUAUUUUUUCUGUUGUUUCUAUUGUUGGUAUUGUUAUUAUUAUUAUUAUUAUUACUAUUAUUGUAAAAGCAUCAAUUUUUAAAUACUAUAAGCUGUUUCCAGUUACAUAUGUGAUUUUAUCUGUAAUCCACCUUAGGAAUUUUUCUGGGAAUAUUGAUAAAAUCAUGAACUCAAAAAAAAAAAAUUUACAUUUUCUGUUUAAAAUA
Molecule: long non-coding RNA, 1908 nt
Organism: Manihot esculenta (cassava)
Lineage: Eukaryota; Viridiplantae; Streptophyta; Magnoliopsida; Malpighiales; Euphorbiaceae
Exons: 2
Source: RefSeq, a predicted model, not a curated record